AGAGCGAACGCUGGCGGCAGGCCUAAUACAUGCAAGUCGAACGGAUCCUUCGGGAUUAGUGGCGGACGGGUGAGUAACACGUGGGAACGUACCCUUUGGUUCGGAACAACUCAGGGAAACUUGAGCUAAUACCGAAUGUGCCCUUCGGGGAAAAGAUUUAUCGCCAUUGGAGCGGCCCGCGUCUGAUUAGCUAGUUGGUAGGGUAAAGGCCUACCAAGGCUACGAUCAGUAGCUGGUCUGAGAGGAUGAUCAGCCACACUGGGACUGAGACACGGCCCAGACUCCUACGGGAGGCAGCAGUAGGGAAUCUUGCGCAAUGGGCGAAAGCCUGACGCAGCCAUGCCGCGUGAAUGAUGAAGGUCUUAGGAUUGUAAAAUUCUUUCAGCGGGGACGAUAAUGACGGUACCCGCAGAAGAGCCCCGGCUAACUUCGUGCCAGCAGCCGC
RNAcentral lists this ribosomal RNA (445 nucleotides) under uncultured bacterium. RNAcentral describes it as "SSU rRNA". It matches the Rfam family "Bacterial small subunit ribosomal RNA", at positions 26 to 518 of the family's 1533-position model. The record is from RNAcentral.